GUGAACGCUGGCGGUAGGCCUAACACAUGCCAGUCGCACGGCAGCACAGUAAGAGCUUGCUCUUACGGGUGGCGAGUGGCGGACGGGUGAGGAAUACAUCGGAAUCUACUUUUUCGUGGGGGAUAACGUAGGGAAACUUACGCUAAUACCGCAUACGACCUACGGGUGAAAGCAGGGGAUCUUCGGACCUUGCGCGAUUGAAUGAGCCGAUGUCGGAUUAGCUAGUUGGCGGGGUAAAGGCCCACCAAGGCGACGAUCCGUAGCUGGUCUGAGAGGAUGAUCAGCCACACUGGAACUGAGACACGGUCCAGACUCCUACGGGAGGCAGCAGUGGGGAAUAUUGGACAAUGGGCGCAAGCCUGAUCCAGCCAUACCGCGUGGGUGAAGAAGGCCUUCGGGUUGUAAAGCCCUUUUGUUGGGAAAGAAAAGCAGCAGGUUAAUACCCCGCUGUUCUGACGGUGCCCAAAGAAUAAGCACCGGCUAACUUCGUG
This 491-nucleotide ribosomal RNA is filed under the name uncultured bacterium. Its description in RNAcentral is "partial 16S ribosomal RNA". It matches the Rfam family "Bacterial small subunit ribosomal RNA", at positions 29 to 507 of the family's 1533-position model. The record is from RNAcentral.